GCUCAGCUGCUCCUAGCUCAGCAAGCAGGGCCUAGAAAGCACUGGGGGCCCUGCUGGGCUCAUCAGCACUCUGCUCAUCCUUCUUCUCCUAGCUCCCAUCCCUGUUCCUGCUUUCACGGCUGGUACCACCGGGAGCCGGAGCACGGUGGGGAUAACCCUGUCCCGCUACGGAGGGAUGCUGCGGCUCUCCCCUCGGUGCUAGGGCUGCUCCGGGCGCCUUCCCCCGCUGCAAAUCGGCCUGGGGCGGCGGGGCGAGGCCAGGAAAGCGUUAACCUUCCCUGCAAUGCUGCAUCCCAGCUCACGGUGGAGCUGCCUUCCUCUCUUCCACCCCCAACUUCCAAUUCACUCCAAACAACUCCGGGACAGAAUUGCAGGGAAAAGCUGGAGGUUCAGCCUCGACUUGUUGAUCUCCGUUUACGAGGCAGCAGAAGGAAGCACCGGAGCUUUCCUUUGUGUCCUCGCCGGGAGAAGGGCGGGGGAAGGAGGGCAGAUGCGGCUUCGGCGUUGACGGCGGGCAGGAGCGAGGAGCCGCAGCCGAGGGAAGGCCUCGGAAAAGCUUCCUGCCGAGGGAUCCGAUUUACCUCCUUUCGCUUCCCCUCCCCCUGGGCUUCGCGGACAGACGGGAGCGCGGCCGCCAUCCCUGCGCCUCGAGGCUGUCCGCGGGGGGAUGCGAGCGGGGCCGCCCCGGCUGCCCGCCCCGACGCACCAUGUAGCCGCCCUCGGCCCCGCACAGCCCCGCACCGCCUCGCUGGGAGCCCGCAGGAGGAGGUAGGUGCGGGCCGGGCUCGGCCCGGAGGAGGGGAGCCUUCCCCCGGCCGGGGAGCAGCGGCCGUGUUUCGCUGCCAGGGUGGGGGGCACCUAGAUCGGCGGGGAGAGGGGCAGAGCCCCCCCGGAGCUGCGCGGCUGGGCAGGGAGAAGCCGUUCCUUCCUGCGCCGGGGUUUCUCUUCGUGCCAUCUUGUGUAAGCAACAGUGCUCGGGGCUGUUCUAAGCCGCUGGCUUUGCGAGGAAGGCUCGGGGGUGGUUCUUAUUCCCGUUUUCGUUGGUUUCCCUCUUAUGCAGAGGGCUGCGUGGAGUGGGGGGGGUGGGCGUCCCUGGGUAGCCCGGAGAGGUAG
This 1113-nucleotide long non-coding RNA is filed under the name Anas platyrhynchos platyrhynchos (common mallard). Its description in RNAcentral is "lncRNA (ENSAPLG00000025186.1)". Lineage: Eukaryota; Metazoa; Chordata; Aves; Anseriformes; Anatidae. The record is from RNAcentral.